RNAcentral lists this ribosomal RNA (440 nucleotides) under uncultured bacterium. Its description in RNAcentral is "partial 16S ribosomal RNA". It matches the Rfam family "Bacterial small subunit ribosomal RNA", at positions 338 to 795 of the family's 1533-position model. The record is from RNAcentral.
CCUACGGGUGGCAGCAGUGGGGAAUAUUGCACAAUGGGGGGAACCCUGAUGCAGCGACGCCGCGUGAGUGAAGAAGUAUUUCGGUAUGUAAAGCUCUAUCAGCAGGGAAGAUAAUGACGGUACCUGACUAAGAAGCCCCGGCUAACUACGUGCCAGCAGCCGCGGUAAUACGUAGGGGGCAAGCGUUAUCCGGAUUUACUGGGUGGAAAGGGUGCGUAGGUGGCAGGGCAAGUCAGAUGUGAAAGCCCGGGGCCCAACCCCGGUACUGCAUUUGAAACUGUCCGGCUGGAGUGCAGGAGAGGUAAGCGGAAUUCCUAGUGUAGCGGUGAAAUGCGUAGAUAUUAGGAGGAACACCAGUGGCGAAGGCGGCUUACUGGACUGUAACUGACACUGAGGCACGAAAGCGUGGGGAGCAAACAGGAUUAGAUACCCCGGUAGUC